This 497-nucleotide ribosomal RNA is filed under the name uncultured bacterium. Its description in RNAcentral is "partial 16S ribosomal RNA". It matches the Rfam family "Bacterial small subunit ribosomal RNA", at positions 28 to 507 of the family's 1533-position model. The record is from RNAcentral.
GAUGAACGCUGGCGGCGUGCCUAAUACAUGCAAGUCGAGCGAACAGACGAUGAGCUUGCUCCUCUGACGUUAGCGGCGGACGGGUGAGUAACAUGUGGAUAACCUACCUAUAAGACUGGGAUAACUUGGGGAAACCGGAUCUAAUACCAGAUAAUAUAUUGAACCGCAGGGUUCAAUAGUGAAAGACGGUUGUGGGGUCACUUAUAGAUGGAUCCGCGCCGCAUUAGAUAGUUGGUAAGGUAACGGCCUACCAAGGCAACGAGGCGUAGCCGAACUGAGAGGCGGAUCGGCCACACUGGAGCUGAGACCCGGUCAAGAAUCCUCCGGGAGGCAGCAGUCGCGAAUCUUACGCAAUGGGCGAAAGCAUGACGGAGCAACGCGGCGUGAGUGAUGAAGGUCUUGCGUUCGUAAUGCUCUGUUAUUGGGGAAGAACAAAUGUGUAAGUAACUAUGGCCGUCUUGACGGUACCUAAUCAGAAAGCAACGGCUAACUACGUG